GGCAAAUGCAAAGUUAAUUGGGCCAAGGUUUGCUCCCCGCUAGACAGAGGAGGGCUUGGUGUUAUGGACAUAGAGCGUUUUGGCCGCGCGUUGCGUCAAAGAUGGCUGUGGUUGGCCUGGAAACACCCGGAACGGCCCUGGGUGGGAAUGGAGGUGCCAUGUUCGGAGACAGACAAGGAUUUCUUC
Molecule: ribosomal RNA, 186 nt
Filed under: Triticum aestivum (bread wheat)
Lineage: Eukaryota; Viridiplantae; Streptophyta; Magnoliopsida; Poales; Poaceae
Description: partial small subunit ribosomal RNA
Source: RNAcentral